GACGUAGGGCGCGAGCGUUGUCCGGAUUUAUUGGGCGUAAAGAGCUCGUAGGCGGCUUGUCGCGUCGUCCGUGAAAACCUGCGGCUCAACUGCAGGCUGGCGGUCGAUACGGGCAGGCUGGAGUUCGGUAGGGGAGACUGGAAUUCCUGGUGUAGCGGUGAAAUGCGCAGAUAUCAGGAGGAACACCGGUGGCGAAGGCGGGUCUCUGGGACGAUACUGACGCUGAGGAGCGAAAGCGUGGGGAGCGAACAGG
This 253-nucleotide ribosomal RNA is filed under the name uncultured bacterium. Its description in RNAcentral is "partial 16S ribosomal RNA". It matches the Rfam family "Bacterial small subunit ribosomal RNA", at positions 524 to 776 of the family's 1533-position model. The record is from RNAcentral.